UACGGAGGGUGCAAGCGUUAUCCGGAUUUACUGGGUUUAAAGGGUGCGUAGGCGGGCCUUUUAAGUCAGUGGUGAAAUCUCCCCGCUCAACGGGGAAACUGCCAUUGAUACUAUUGGUCUUGAAUUUAGUUGAGGUGGGCGGAAUGUGUCGUGUAGCGGUGAAAUGCUUAGAUAUGACACAGAACACCGAUUGCGAAGGCAGCUCGCUAAACUAAUAUUGACGCUGAGCACGAAAGCGUGGGGAUCAAACAGG
RNAcentral lists this ribosomal RNA (253 nucleotides) under uncultured bacterium. Its description in RNAcentral is "partial 16S ribosomal RNA". It matches the Rfam family "Bacterial small subunit ribosomal RNA", at positions 524 to 776 of the family's 1533-position model. The record is from RNAcentral.